GAUGAACGCUGGCGGCGUGCCUAAUACAUGCAAGUCGAGCGAACAGACGAGGAGCUUGCUCCUCUGACGUUAGCGGCGGACGGGUGAGUAACACGUGGAUAACCUACCUAUAAGACUGGGAUAACUUCGGGAAACCGGAGCUAAUACCGGAUAAUAUAUUGAACCGCAUGGUUCAAUAGUGAAAGACGGUUUUGCUGUCACUUAUAGAUGGAUCCGCGCCGCAUUAGCUAGUUGGUAAGGUAACGGCUUACCAAGGCGACGAUGCGUAGCCGACCUGAGAGGGUGAUCGGCCACACUGGAACUGAGACACGGUCCAGACUCCUACGGGAGGCAGCAGUAGGGAAUCUUCCGCAUUGGGCGAAAGCCUGACGGAGCAACGCCGCGUGAGUGAUGAAGGUCUUCGGAUCGUAAAACUCUGUUAUUAGGGAAGAACAAAUGUGUAAGUAACUAUGCACGUCUUGACGGUACCUAAUCAGAAAGCCACGGCUAACUACGUG
RNAcentral lists this ribosomal RNA (497 nucleotides) under uncultured bacterium. RNAcentral describes it as "partial 16S ribosomal RNA". It matches the Rfam family "Bacterial small subunit ribosomal RNA", at positions 28 to 507 of the family's 1533-position model. The record is from RNAcentral.